CCGGUUUGGGCCUGUGUGACUGGUUACGGGGGCCGGCGGGAAAGCAGGCUAAGAUCCUAAGGCUGGUUCUAGUCUCCCCCGCUCUUUUGGAACUCUCUUCGCUUUAGAUCUUGUUUUCUUUCUGUUCUGGAAGGAAAAUGAGGUUUCUGAGAGUUUGUUAAAACUUCACGUCAUGUGGAAAGCGAACAACGAAAGGUGUAGGGCAUGGAAAUGCAAUCUUGGUGGGCACUGGAAGGACAAAGGUUUUCCUGCACACGUAGUGUUUCUCUCCCUACCCGAUCCCUCCAGAACUUGGCAUUCUGAAGGUGGCAUAAAGUUUUUUUGCACAAAACCAGUAAGACCCGUUUCCCAUGGUGGUUUUCUUAACCAAGUCUUGACCGGAACACCAUGCCCGAAGCAGGCAGGCCUGGACUCGGGUGCUUCCCGUAAGGCCUUGAGGAGCCGAGGUGGUUCCUUGUGUGAGUCCCAGCAAAGCAGACUUAACGCUCCUGUGGGGUCAGCUGUUGCUCUUGCUGCGUUUAUGCAGACAAACAGGCAAAAAUGAAAACCGGACGUAAUGCAGUCCCUUUGGGGCCAGGGAGGGUGACCUUCAGGAGAGAAAUGGUGCUGGAACAAAAAUCACAGGGCUCAGGGGUGGGCACUGGUCUAGUGCAGCUGUCUUCAAAGUUUUGUUUCCACUUGGAGGUUUGUGGAAACUGGGCUUGUGGCAUUACCAGAGAUGUUCAACUUACAGCAAGAAGGGUUUGUCAGGCUGCCAUUGUUGGAUGUCAUUCCAGCAAACGGCUUCAACUGGAUGUCUGCUCGAAAAUAAGUCUCAAGGACUCAGAGACUGGUUUGCGAUUUGUGGCAUAAACUAACCUGUGUGUUCUCACUUGUGUUUUCAUAGGGCACAUGCCUGGGACGUUACCUGGUGGCUGUUUCCACAACAGAGGCCUCACUGGAAGCCCCUCCUUGCAUCACCGUCUCCUGAGUCUCGACGGCCUGGCUGGACUAAGAGGUUGGGUCGGUGAGUAUGGGGAGGGUGCCAGCUUGCCCAGCAGUCUCAUCCUCUGGACAUUGCACAUGCCAUCUCCCAGGGACAGCCAACCGACCUGGACUUUGCGAGAUCCUUCUCUCCUGUGUGAAGGCCUCCCUCCACUCCAUACCCCCUUUCUGAUGGGGGUCUCUGGACCAGGGGGUGGGUGGGACUAUGUCCAUGGCCAGUUGGAAGUAGCGGAAGAAGAAUGAGACCUCCACC
This is a long non-coding RNA of Phyllostomus discolor (pale spear-nosed bat), 1237 nucleotides long. RefSeq lists it as uncharacterized. The transcript has 2 exons. The record is from RefSeq and is a predicted model, not a curated record. NCBI's taxonomy places the organism in Eukaryota, Metazoa, Chordata, Mammalia, Chiroptera, Phyllostomidae.